ACCUUAUCCAGAGAAGGUGGAGGGACUGGCCCGAUGAUACCCGGCAACCGACAUGACGCCAUUCAGACGCGAGAAAGCGACUGAUUAACAGGCGACAUGCACGGUGCUAAUUCCUGCAGAAACAAAAGUGGUCUGGAAGAUAAGGG
This 146-nucleotide non-coding RNA is filed under the name Brevibacillus brevis. RNAcentral describes it as "SAM-I sequence". It matches the Rfam family "SAM riboswitch aptamer (S box leader)". Rfam says of the family: The SAM riboswitch is found upstream of a number of genes which code for proteins involved in methionine or cysteine biosynthesis in Gram-positive bacteria. The SAM riboswitch acts at the level of transcription termination control. RNAcentral also lists the same sequence under 1 other name. The record is from RNAcentral. Lineage: Bacteria; Bacillati; Bacillota; Bacilli; Caryophanales; Paenibacillaceae.